UCCCUCUUAGCUCAGUUGGUAGAGCGCGUCACUAGUACCUUGAAUAUUCAAGUUGUAAUGACGAGGUCAGUCGUUCAAGUCGGCUAGCGGGAA
This is a non-coding RNA of Dentipellis sp. KUC8613, 93 nucleotides long. Lineage: Eukaryota; Fungi; Basidiomycota; Agaricomycetes; Russulales; Hericiaceae. The record is from the annotation of a GenBank genome assembly.